RNAcentral lists this ribosomal RNA (468 nucleotides) under uncultured bacterium. RNAcentral describes it as "partial 16S ribosomal RNA". It matches the Rfam family "Bacterial small subunit ribosomal RNA", at positions 28 to 507 of the family's 1533-position model. The record is from RNAcentral.
GACGAACGCUGGCGGCGUGCUUAACACAUGCAAGUCGAACGGAAAGGCCCUGCUUUUGUGUGGUUCUCGAGUGGCGAACGGGUGUGUAACACGUGAGUAACAUGCCCUUAUCUUUCGGGUAACUUCAGGAAACUGGGGCUAAUACCGGGUAUGAUCUCCUGCUGCAUGUUGUGCGUUGGAAAGUUUCGGCGGUUCUGGAUGUACUGGCAGCUUAUCAGCUUGUUUGUCGGGUAGUGGAUUACCAAGGCUUUGACGGGUAGCCUGCCUGAGAGGGUUAACGGGCACAUGGCGACUGAGGUACGGCCCAGAAUCCAACGGGACGCAAUAGUGGGGAAUAUUGCAGAAUGGCGGGAAGCGUGAUGCAGCAACGCCGCGUGCGGGAUGACGGCUUAUGGGGUGUAAACAGCUUUCGAAGGUGACGAAGAGUGAGUGACGGUAAUGGGUAAAGAAGCACCGGCUAACUACGUG